ACUCAUGCAUCCAGUAUUUGGUUAGGAGCCCAUCCCAGGGCUCACUUCCCUUUAUCUUACUUUUGGAAAACAUUUGUGAUACAUAUACUGAUACAAAUUUACAUAUAUGCUGAUCCUCCACAUGUGCAGAGACAGUAACCACUGCAUCUUCCUUUAGUGACUAAAUGUUCAAUGCAAAUACCGUAGGUCAUAAAAUGAGUGAACAACUGUUGCUUGUUAGUUGUCAGAGUUAAAUACAACAAAUGCAACAAUAUGAGGAACUAUUCUUCUGGUAAUGAAGUAUCAUCAGCUUGUUACAAGUAUAUGGUGGGAAAGGUCAAAACCUGAUCCACCUCCUUUUGUGACUAGCUUGUUGCUAAAGUCAAAUAUCAAUUGCCUCAGCAUCAGGGAUCGCGCCUACUACAGAGGGAGUACAUCAAAAUUCCAAGAGGCUCCUCAACAAGCUGCAAAGUAGCAAUUUGAGUU
Molecule: long non-coding RNA, 465 nt
Organism: Rosa rugosa (rugosa rose)
Lineage: Eukaryota; Viridiplantae; Streptophyta; Magnoliopsida; Rosales; Rosaceae
Exons: 3
Source: RefSeq, a predicted model, not a curated record